This 253-nucleotide ribosomal RNA is filed under the name uncultured bacterium. RNAcentral's name for it is "partial 16S ribosomal RNA". It matches the Rfam family "Bacterial small subunit ribosomal RNA", at positions 524 to 776 of the family's 1533-position model. The record is from RNAcentral.
UACGUAGGGAGCGAGCGUUGUCCGGAUUUACUGGGUGUAAAGGGUGCGUAGGCGGCCUGGCAAGUCAGUAGUGAAAUCCAUGGGCUUAACCCAUGAACUGCUAUUGAAACUGUCGAGCUUGAGUGAAGUAGAGGUAGGCGGAAUUCCCGGUGUAGCGGUGAAAUGCGUAGAGAUCGGGAGGAACACCAGUGGCGAAGGCGGCCUACUGGGCUUUAACUGACGCUGAGGCACGAAAGCGUGGGUAGCAAACAGG